AGCGAACGCUGGCGGCAGGCUUAACACAUGCAAGUCGAGCUGGCACUUCGGUGUCAGCGGCAGACGGGUGAGUAACACGUGGGAACGUACCCUUCGGUUCGGAAUAACGCUGGGAAACUAGCGCUAAUACCGGAUACGCCCUUUUGGGGAAAGGUUUACUGCCGAAGGAUCGGCCCGCGUCUGAUUAGCUAGUUGGUGGGGUAAUGGCCUACCAAGGCGACGAUCAGUAGCUGGUCUGAGAGGAUGAUCAGCCACACUGGGACUGAGACACGGCCCAGACUCCUACGGGAGGCAGCAGUGGGGAAUAUUGGACAAUGGGCGCAAGCCUGAUCCAGCCAUGCCGCGUGAGUGAUGAAGGCCUUAGGGUUGUAAAGCUCUUUUGUCCGGGACGAUAAUGACGGUACCGGAAGAAUAAGCCCCGGCUAACUUCGUG
This 433-nucleotide ribosomal RNA is filed under the name uncultured bacterium. RNAcentral's name for it is "partial 16S ribosomal RNA". It matches the Rfam family "Bacterial small subunit ribosomal RNA", at positions 29 to 507 of the family's 1533-position model. The record is from RNAcentral.